This 150-nucleotide ribosomal RNA is filed under the name uncultured eukaryote. Its description in RNAcentral is "partial small subunit ribosomal RNA". It matches the Rfam family "Eukaryotic small subunit ribosomal RNA", at positions 1651 to 1807 of the family's 1831-position model. The record is from RNAcentral.
CCCUGCCUUUUGUACACACCGCCCGUCGCUCCUACCGAUUUCGAGUGGUCCGGUGAACCUUUCGGACCGGGGACAGUCUCGUGCUGCUCCUGGGAAGUCAAGUAAACCACAUCACUUAGAGGAAGGAGAAGUCGUAACAAGGUUUCCGUA